RNAcentral lists this ribosomal RNA (484 nucleotides) under uncultured bacterium. Its description in RNAcentral is "bacterial SSU rRNA". It matches the Rfam family "Bacterial small subunit ribosomal RNA", at positions 32 to 524 of the family's 1533-position model. The record is from RNAcentral.
AAUCAACGCUGGCGGCGUGCCUCAGACAUGCAAGUCGAACGAUUAAAGCUCUCUUCGGAGAGUGCAUAGAGUGGCGCACGGGUGAGUAACACGUAAGUAAUCUACCUUCGAGUGGGGAAUAACGUCCGGAAACGGACGCUAAUACCGCAUAAUGCAGCGGCAUCGUAAGAUGACAGUUGUUAAAGAUUUAUCGCUUGAAGAGGAGCUUGCGGCAGAUUAGCUAGUUGGUAAGGUAAUGGCUUACCAAGGCUACGAUCUGUAACCGGUCUUAGAGGACGGUCGGUCACACUGACACUGAAUAACGGGUCAGACUCCUACGGGAGGCAGCAGUCGGGAAUUUUGGGCAAUGGGCGAAAGCCUGACCCAGCAACGCCGCGUGAAGGGAUGGAGUAUUUUCGGUAUGUAAACUUCGAAAGAAUAGGAAGAAUAAAUGACGGUACUAUUUAAUAAGUCCGGCUAACUACGUGCCAGCAGCCGCGGUAAU